This 250-nucleotide unclassified non-coding RNA is filed under the name plant metagenome. RNAcentral describes it as "partial contains small subunit ribosomal RNA, internal transcribed spacer 1, and 5.8S ribosomal RNA". The record is from RNAcentral.
GUAGGUGAACCUGCGGAAGGAUCAUUAACAAAUCAGUUAUAUGGCUUCGGCCAUAUAUAUUCACCCCAAGCUGGGAUUGUACACUAGUUGUACAGGACCGGCUUUGGUUGGGCUACAUCCCUUGUGGGUGUGGCUCCGGCACGUACGCUUCGGUGUACUGGCCACAUAGACGCUUGUAUUGUUUGACAGAGUAUAGUUGCAUCUAAAAAAUACAACUUUUAACAAUGGAUCUCUUGGCUCUUGCAUCGAU